UUUGAGAGUUUGAUCCUGGCUCAGGACGAACGCUGGCGGCGUGCCUAAUACAUGCAAGUCGAACGAACUCUGGUAUUGAUUGGUGCUUGCAUCAUGAUUUACAUUUGAGUGAGUGGCGAACUGGUGAGUAACACGUGGGAAACCUGCCCAGAAGCGGGGGAUAACACCUGGAAACAGAUGCUAAUACCGCAUAACAACUUGGACCGCAUGGUCCGAGCUUGAAAGAUGGCUUCGGCUAUCACUUUUGGAUGGUCCCGCGGCGUAUUAGCUAGAUGGUGGGGUAAUGGCUCACCAUGGCAAUGAUACGUAGCCGACCUGAGAGGGUAAUCGGCCACAUUGGGACUGAGACACGGCCCAAACUCCUACGGGAGGCAGCAGUAGGGAAUCUUCCACAAUGGACGAAAGUCUGAUGGAGCAACGCCGCGUGAGUGAAGAAGGGUUUCGGCUCGUAAAACUCUGUUGUUAAAGAAGAACAUAUCUGAGAGUAACUGUUCAGGUAUUGACGGUAUUUAACCAGAAAGCCACGGCUAACUACGUGCCAGCAGCCGCGGUAAUACGUAGGUGGCAAGCGUUGUCCGGAUUUAUUGGGCGUAAAGCGAGCGCAGGCGGUUUUUUAAGUCUGAUGUGAAAGCCUUCGGCUCAACCGAAGAAGUGCAUCGGAAACUGGGAAACUUGAGUGCAGAAGAGGACAGUGGAACUCCAUGUGUAGCGGUGAAAUGCGUAGAUAUAUGGAAGAACACCAGUGGCGAAGGCGGCUGUCUGGUCUGUAACUGACGCUGAGGCUCGAAAGUAUGGGUAGCAAACAGGAUUAGAUACCCUGGUAGUCCAUACCGUAAACGAUGAAUGCUAAGUGUUGGAGGGUUUCCGCCCUUCAGUGCUGCAGCUAACGCAUUAAGCAUUCCGCCUGGGGAGUACGGCCGCAAGGCUGAAACUCAAAGGAAUUGACGGGGGCCCGCACAAGCGGUGGAGCAUGUGGUUUAAUUCGAAGCUACGCGAAGAACCUUACCAGGUCUUGACAUACUAUGCAAAUCUAAGAGAUUAGACGUUCCCUUCGGGGACAUGGAUACAGGUGGUGCAUGGUUGUCGUCAGCUCGUGUCGUGAGAUGUUGGGUUAAGUCCCGCAACGAGCGCAACCCUUAUUAUCAGUUGCCAGCAUUAAGUUGGGCACUCUGGUGAGACUGCCGGUGACAAACCGGAGGAAGGUGGGGAUGACGUCAAAUCAUCAUGCCCCUUAUGACCUGGGCUACACACGUGCUACAAUGGAUGGUACAACGAGUUGCGAACUCGCGAGAGUAAGCUAAUCUCUUAAAGCCAUUCUCAGUUCGGAUUGUAGGCUGCAACUCGCCUACAUGAAGUCGGAAUCGCUAGUAAUCGCGGAUCAGCAUGCCGCGGUGAAUACGUUCCCGGGCCUUGUACACACCGCCCGUCACACCAUGAGAGUUUGUAACACCCAAAGUCGGUGGGGUAACCUUUUAGGAACCAGCCGCCUAAGGUGGGACAGAUGAUUAGGGUGAAGUCGUAACAAGGUAGCCGUAGGAGAACCUGCGGCUGGAUCACCUCCUU
RNAcentral lists this ribosomal RNA (1563 nucleotides) under Lactiplantibacillus plantarum. RNAcentral describes it as "16S ribosomal RNA". It matches the Rfam family "Bacterial small subunit ribosomal RNA". Lineage: Bacteria; Bacillati; Bacillota; Bacilli; Lactobacillales; Lactobacillaceae. The record is from RNAcentral.